RNAcentral lists this ribosomal RNA (884 nucleotides) under Hodophilus foetens. RNAcentral describes it as "LSU rRNA". It matches the Rfam family "Eukaryotic large subunit ribosomal RNA", at positions 73 to 952 of the family's 3401-position model. The record is from RNAcentral. Lineage: Eukaryota; Fungi; Basidiomycota; Agaricomycetes; Agaricales; Clavariaceae.
GAUUCCCCUAGUAACUGCGAGUGAAGAGGGAAGAGCUCAAAUUUAAAAUCUGGCSGUCUCUGGCUGUCCGAGUUGUAAAUUAGAGAAGUGUUAUCCGCUCAAGCCUGUGCAAAAGUCUCUUGGAAAAGGGCAUCAUAGAGGGUGACAAUCCCGUCUUUGGCACAGAUCACUUGCGCUUUUGUGAUGCGCUCUCGAUGAGUCGAGUUGUUUGGGAAUGCAGCUCUAAAUGGGUGGUAAAUUCCAUCUAAAGCUAAAUAUGGGCGAGAAACCGAUAGCGAACAAGUACCGUGAGGGAAAGAUGAAAAGCACUUUGAAAAGAGAGUCAAACAGUAUGUGAAAUUGUUGAAAGGGAAACGCUUGAAGUCAGUCGUAUCCUUCAGAAAUCAACCUGACCUUUGGCUGGGUGCAUUUUUUGUUGGAUGGGUCAGCAUCAAUUUUGAUCAUUGGAUAAAGGACUUGGGAAUGUGGCAUCUUUGGAUGUGUUAUAGCCYCUGUUUGUAUACAAUGAUUGGGAUUGAGGAACUCAGUGUGACUUUGGUUUGGAGGUAUUGCACCUCACACACGCACUUAGGAUGCUGGCAUAAUGGCUUUAAUCGACCCGUCUUGAAACACGGACCAAGGAGUCUAACAUGCAUGCGAGUGUUUGGGUGGAAAACUCAAGCGCGCAAUGAAAGUGAAAGUUGAGAACCCCUUUGGGGUGCAUCGACGCCCGGACUUGAUCUUUUGUGACGGACCUGCGGUAGAGCAUGUAUGUUGGGACCCGAAGAUGGUGAACUAUGCCUGAUAGGUGAAGUCAGAGGAACUCUGAUGGAGCUCGUAGCGAUCUGACGUGCAAUCGAUCGUCAAUUUGGUAUAGGGGCGAAGACUAUCGACAUCUAGUAGCU